Molecule: transfer RNA, 16 nt
Filed under: Chaenogobius gulosus
Lineage: Eukaryota; Metazoa; Chordata; Actinopteri; Gobiiformes; Gobiidae
Description: partial tRNA-Asn
Source: RNAcentral
UCUAGGCGGGAAGGCC